This 266-nucleotide ribosomal RNA is filed under the name uncultured soil bacterium. Its description in RNAcentral is "partial 16S ribosomal RNA". It matches the Rfam family "Bacterial small subunit ribosomal RNA", at positions 26 to 284 of the family's 1533-position model. The record is from RNAcentral.
AGGACGAACGCUGGCGGCGUGCUUAACACAUGCAAGUCGAGGGGGAGUAGGGGCAACUCUACUUCACCGGCGAACGGGUGCGUAACACGUGAGCGACCUACCCUGGUGUGGGGAUAGCCGGCCCAACGGCCGGGUAAUACCGCAUACGCUCUUUGAGGGGCAUCCCUUGGAGACCAAAGCCGUGGGGCAACUCACGGCGCAUUGGGAGGGGCUCGCGGCCUAUCAGCUAGUUGGCGAGGUAACGGCUCACCAAGGCGACGACGGGU